This 674-nucleotide long non-coding RNA is filed under the name Anas zonorhyncha (Eastern spot-billed duck). RNAcentral's name for it is "lncRNA (ENSAZOG00000017027.1)". Lineage: Eukaryota; Metazoa; Chordata; Aves; Anseriformes; Anatidae. The record is from RNAcentral.
CGUUGCCAAUGAGGGAUCUGUGUUUGAAUGGCAGGGCUUUGGGGAGACUGCUGGAAACAAGAGCCCAGGAGCCAAAUGGACACCAGAAGAGCAGUGGGCACACGUGCUCUCAUGACGCUGGACACCACAGCAAGCACCAGUGGAUGCUCAGCAGUGAGAGAGCGGGGGUGAAGAUGGCUCUUGCUUAUUUACCGAGCACUGGGUCUGACGCGCUGAUUUCGUUAAAUCCUCGUUCCCCGAAGGCGCCUGUUCGCCGGAACGCGACGCCCCAGAGGGCAGCAGCGCCCCCGCUGCCGGCAGGUAGGGCCCGUGGGUAGGGCCCCUGGGCAGGGCCAGCCCCGCGCCUCGGAGCCGGCCGGGGGCAGGGGCUCGCUGCGGGGGGCUCCGGGCACGGCCCCCCCUCGGCUGCCGCCCCGCGGGGCCCGAACAAAGGAGAAAUGGCUCAGCUCGGGGGCACCGAGGAGGAGACCCAAAGAGGGGGGGAGCUCCGAGGACGCCCCCCGCAGCACCUGGGGGGGCCCGGGCAUUGUCUCCGGCGGCCGGGGGCGGUGCGGGCCGGCCGGGGUGCCGCCCCCCCCGCCCCGUGGGCGGCCCGGCAGCGGCGGGGCGUUAAAUGGGGCGGGCGGCGGGGGGCGCUUCCCAUUGACAAAAGCGGGGCGGGGGCGGAGGAGCGA